CACUAUAUCUACGGCCCAUCAGCAUACGCACAGACCGCGCGCUCGGUCGACUACUGGCUAGCUUGUUUCAGUCGUCCGAUCUGAUCUACAGAAAAAGCAGGGGCAGGGCAGCUAGCCAUGAUUCAGAUGAACAUGAAGCAGCCUCUCGUGCUGCCCGCGCACCGGGGCAAUGUCAUCGGCUCGCGCCUGGCGUCGUCGCCCUCUCCGGUGGCGGCGGCGGCGGCGGCGGCCAGCAGGCGGAGGGGCGUCGUGUCCUCCCCCCGCUCCCGGCUCCAGCGCCACAUGCGGCUGCCGAGGAUCAGCUGCAGCGCCACCGAGGAGGCCAGCGGCGCCGUGUCGGCCGUCACCGUGGAGAAGAUGCUGACGGUGACGGCCUCGGUGCAGGCGGCGCCGGCCAUCGGUCAGAUGUACUUCCAGCGCGCCCUCGACGACGCCGGCGACUUCUUCGGCAAGACGCUGCUGAUGGAACUCGUCAGCUCCGAGGUCGACGCAAAGACGGGUCUGGAGAAGCCGCGGGUGACGGCGUUCGCUCACAAGACGCUGCGGGAGGGCCACUACGAGGCGGAGUUCAAGGUGCCGGCGUCGUUCGGGCCCGUGGGCGCGGUGCUGCUGGAGAACGAGCACCACAAGGAGAUCUUCAUCAGGGAGAUCAAGCUCGUCACGGGCAGCGACAGCAGCACCGCCGUCACCUUCGGCUGCAACUCCUGGGUGCACUCCAAGUUCGACAACCCGGAGAAGCGCAUCUUCUUCACCCUCAAGUCCUACCUGCCGUCCGACACGCCCAAGGGCCUGGAGGACCUGAGGAAGAAGGACCUGCAGGCGCUUCGGGGCGACGGCCACGGCGAGCGCAAGGCGUCCGAGCGCGUCUACGACUACGACGUGUACAACGACCUGGGCGACCCGGACAAGAACCCCGCCCACCAGCGGCCCGUGCUGGGCGGCAGCAAGCGGUACCCGUACCCGCGCCGCUGCCGCACCGGUCGCCCCAGGACCAGGAAGGACCCCGAGGCGGAGGUGCGCCAUGGGCACAACUACGUGCCCCGCGACGAGCAGUUCUCGGAGGUCAAGCAGCUCACGUUCGGGGCCACGACGCUGCGCUCGGGCCUGCACGCGCUGCUCCCGGCCAUCAGGCCGAUGCUCAUCAAGAGGGAGCUGCGCUUCCCGCACUUCCCGGCCAUCGACGACCUCUACAGCGACGGCAUCCCGCUGCCGGCGCAGACCGGGUUGGGCGCCAUCCGCAGCAUCGUCCCGCGCGUGGUCAAGCUGGUGGAGGACACCACCGAGCACGUCCUCCGCUUCGAGCUGCCGGACAUGAUAGAGAGAGACCGCUUCUCGUGGUUCAAAGACGAGGAGUUCGCGAGGCAGACGAUCGCGGGGCUCAACCCGCUGUGCAUCCAGCUCCUGACGGAGUUCCCCAUCAGGAGCAAGCUGGACCCGGAGGUGUACGGCCCGGCGGAGUCCGCCAUCACCAAGGAGAUCCUGGAGAAGCACAUGAGCGGCGGCGCCGCCAUGACCGUGGAGCAGGCGCUCGCGGCGAAGCGUCUGUUCAUCCUGGACUACCACGACGUGUUCCUGCCCUACGUGCACAGGGUGCGCGAGCUGCCGGACACGACGCUCUACGGCUCCCGCACCGUCUUCUUCCUCACGGACCUGGGCACGCUGAUGCCGCUGGCCAUCGAGCUGGUGCGGCCCAAAUCGCCGACGCAGCCGCAGUGGAAGCGGGUGUUCACGCACGGGCCCGACGCCACCGACGCCUGGCUGUGGAAGCUUGCCAAGGCGCACGUGGUGACCCACGACACGGGGUACCACCAGCUGGUGAGCCACUGGCUGCGCACGCACUGCUGCGUGGAGCCCUACAUCAUUGCCGCGAACCGGCAGCUCAGCCGGCUGCACCCGGUGUACCGCCUCCUGCACCCGCACUUCCGCUACACCAUGGAGAUCAACGCGCUGGCCAGGGAGGCGCUCAUCAACGCCGACGGCAUCAUCGAGGAGUCCUUCUGGCCGGGCAGGUACGCCGUCGAGCUCAGCUCAGCGGCGUACGGCGCCACGUGGCAGUUCGACACGGAGGCGCUGCCCAACGACCUCGUCAAGCGUGGGCUCGCCGUGCGCCGGGACGACGGCGAGCUGGAGCUCACCAUCAAGGACUACCCCUACGCGCACGACGGGCUCAUGGUCUGGAACACCAUAAGGCAGUGGGCGGCCGACUACGUCAACGUCUACUACAAGUCCGACGAGGCCGUCGCCGCCGACCCCGAGCUGAAGGCGUUCUGGGACGAGGUGCGCAACGUGGGCCACGGCGACAAGAAGGACGAGCCGUGGUGGCCCGUGCUCGACACCCGCGACAGCCUCGCGGAGACGCUCACCACCAUCAUGUGGGUCACCUCCGGCCACCACUCGGCGGUCAACUUCGGGCAGUACCACUUCGGCGGAUACUUCCCGAACCGCCCGACCACCAUCCGGAAGAGCAUGCCCGUGGAGGAGGAGGCGGGCCGGGACGAAGAGAUGAAGAAGUUCCUGAAGCAGCCGGAGACGACCCUGCUGGACAUGCUGCCGACGCAGAUGCAGGCCAUCAGGGUGAUGACGACGCUGGACAUCCUCUCGUCGCACUCGCCCGACGAGGAGUACAUGGGAGAGUUGGCGGAGCCGUCGUGGCUGGAGGAGCCCAUGGUGAAGGCGGCGUUCGAGAAGUUCGGCGGCAGGAUGAAGGAGAUCGAGGGAUUCAUCGACGAGUGCAACAACAACCCGGAGCUCAGGAACCGGUGCGGAGCAGGGAUCGUGCCGUACGAACUGCUCAAGCCCUUCUCCAAGCCGGGAGUCACCGGGAGGGGCAUCCCCAACAGCAUCUCCAUUUGACCCGUCCGUCCUCUCCAUCCAAUGGGGGUUUGCCUUAUUGCGUGCACGCUAGCUAGCUGCUUGGAAAUAAAAAUAAUUAAAAUAAAAGGUCUCGUCUGUACUAUUGUAUUGUACCAUGGAUCAUAUCGUACAUGUUGUGUCAAUGCAAAGAGGCACGUUUGAGUUACCAUUAGGAUGACAUUACUAGCAGAUCCUUUUUAUGUUAUCGUCUUUAGAACUUUGGAUGACCAAGAAAUACUGCCAGAUUAUAAAUAACCUACCCGGCCGGAGGGAGAUCAAAAUUUGGCAACGUCGUCCCUAUGUGUAAAAGACUUACUAGAAAACGAAAGG
RNAcentral lists this unclassified non-coding RNA (3183 nucleotides) under Zea mays. RNAcentral's name for it is "misc RNA Zm00001eb236420". Lineage: Eukaryota; Viridiplantae; Streptophyta; Magnoliopsida; Poales; Poaceae. The record is from RNAcentral.